CCUACGGGAGGCAGCAGUGGGGAAUCUUCCACAAUGGACGCAAGUCUGAUGGAGCAACGCCGCGUGAGUGAAGAAGGGUUUCGGCUCGUAAAGCUCUGUUGUUAAAGAAGAAGGCGGGUAAGAGUAACUGUUUACCCAGUGACGGUAUUUAACCAGAAAGCCCCGGCUAACUACGUGCCAGCAGCCGCGGUAAUA
This 195-nucleotide ribosomal RNA is filed under the name uncultured bacterium. RNAcentral describes it as "partial 16S ribosomal RNA". It matches the Rfam family "Bacterial small subunit ribosomal RNA", at positions 338 to 525 of the family's 1533-position model. The record is from RNAcentral.